Molecule: transfer RNA, 84 nt
Filed under: Chloroflexota bacterium
Lineage: Bacteria; Bacillati; Chloroflexota
Description: Chloroflexi bacterium tRNA-Leu
Rfam family: tRNA
About the family: Transfer RNA (tRNA) molecules are approximately 80 nucleotides in length. Their secondary structure includes four short double-helical elements and three loops (D, anti-codon, and T loops). Further hydrogen bonds mediate the characteristic L-shaped molecular structure. tRNAs have two regions of fundamental functional importance: the anti-codon, which is responsible for specific mRNA codon recognition, and the 3' end, to which the tRNAs corresponding amino acid is attached (by aminoacyl-tRNA synthetases). tRNAs cope with the degeneracy of the genetic code in two manners: having more than one tRNA (with a specific anti-codon) for a particular amino acid; and 'wobble' base-pairing, i.e. permitting non-standard base-pairing at the 3rd anti-codon position.
Source: RNAcentral
GCCGCAGUGGCGGAAUUGGCAGACGCGCUACGUUCAGGGCGUAGUGGGCACUAGCCCAUGGGGGUUCAAGUCCCUCCUGCGGCA